This 301-nucleotide ribosomal RNA is filed under the name uncultured bacterium. Its description in RNAcentral is "partial 16S ribosomal RNA". It matches the Rfam family "Bacterial small subunit ribosomal RNA", at positions 509 to 807 of the family's 1533-position model. The record is from RNAcentral.
CAGCCGCCGCGGGAAUACAGAGGGUGCGAGCGUUAAUCGGAUUUACUGGGCGUAAAGCGUGCGUAGGCGGCUUCUUAAGUCGGAUGUGAAAUCCCUGAGCUUAACUUAGGAAUUGCAUUCGAUACUGGGAAGCUAGAGUAUGGGAGAGGAUGGUAGAAUUCCAGGUGUAGCGGUGAAAUGCGUAGAGAUCUGGAGGAAUACCGAUGGCGAAGGCAGCCAUCUGGCCUAAUACUGAUGCUGAGGUACGAAAGCAUGGGGAGCAAACAGGAUUAGAUACCCGUGUAGUCCCUGUCUCUUAUAC